AAUGUAGAUGUACUGUAGCAGACGACGUGUGCCAUAGUAUGGGAUAGUCUACUACUCUGAGGCGCACUGAAUUACUCCAAGGUUCACUGCUCUCCAAUUUGGAGACACACUCAUAGCCACAAAAUAACAGUCACUAAAUAUUAGUCAAAAGAUACAUUGUAGAGGUUUGUCUAAAACUACAGAGGUAACUAGCUAUCAGCCAAUGGACUUGGCGUGCCUACAAACAGCAUCACAGUUGGCACUGAUCAAAACAAGCUAGCUCGCUAAGUUAUAUAAUGCAGCGAUAUAUUUUGUGACAUUGUGCCGCAUUGUGCACUCGGAUGGCAGUGGUCGGAAACACAGUGGACAGACAUCGAGAUAAAUUGAACCAAAAACAGCAGGUGGGAUGGUCCUCCCUAAACCAAUAGCCUGGGUGUCAUCCACACCGACCUCAAGCCCGACAGCAUCAUGCUCGUGGAUCCCACACGCCCGCAUAAGGUUAUCGACUUUGCGGUUUAGCCUGCCAUGUGUCCGAAGCUGUGUCUUCGAUUUACCUGCAAUCUCAAACUCCCAUCGAUUCGCUACCUAUCCCAGACUCAGGGCUUUCCGGGGGAGUAGCUGCUGAGUACGAGUACACAAAGACCAGGCCCUUCGACAGAAGGCCUGGCUCUAGCUAGCCUCUCUGGAGACUAAAGGCA
Long non-coding RNA from Clupea harengus (Atlantic herring), 677 nucleotides. RefSeq lists it as uncharacterized. NCBI's taxonomy places the organism in Eukaryota, Metazoa, Chordata, Actinopteri, Clupeiformes, Clupeidae. The record is from RefSeq and is a predicted model, not a curated record.